This 168-nucleotide ribosomal RNA is filed under the name Metarhizium anisopliae. RNAcentral's name for it is "5.8S ribosomal RNA". It matches the Rfam family "5.8S ribosomal RNA". From Rfam's summary of the family: 5.8S ribosomal RNA (5.8S rRNA) is a component of the large subunit of the eukaryotic ribosome. It is transcribed by RNA polymerase I as part of the 45S precursor that also contains 18S and 28S rRNA. Lineage: Eukaryota; Fungi; Ascomycota; Sordariomycetes; Hypocreales; Clavicipitaceae. The record is from RNAcentral.
AAUCAAAACUUUCAACAACGGAUCUCUUGGUUCUGGCAUCGAUGAAGAACGCAGCGAAAUGCGAUAAGUAAUGUGAAUUGCAGAAUUCAGUGAAUCAUCGAAUCUUUGAACGCACAUUGCGCCCGUCAGUAUUCUGGCGGGCAUGCCUGUUCGAGCGUCAUUACGCCC